This 509-nucleotide ribosomal RNA is filed under the name Glomus sp. Glo23. RNAcentral describes it as "SSU rRNA". It matches the Rfam family "Eukaryotic small subunit ribosomal RNA", at positions 569 to 1078 of the family's 1831-position model. The record is from RNAcentral. Lineage: Eukaryota; Fungi; Glomeromycota; Glomeromycetes; Glomerales; Glomeraceae. RNAcentral also lists the same sequence under 1 other name.
AGCAGCCGCGGUAAUUCCAGCUCCAAUAGCGUAUAUUAAAGUUGUUGCAGUUAAAAAGCUCGUAGUUGAAUUUCGGGGUUAGUAGGUUGGUCAUGCCUCUGGUAUGUACUGGUCUCACUGAUUCCUCCUUCCUGAUGAACCUUAAUGCCAUUAAUUUGGUGUUUUGGGGAAUUUGGACUGUUACUUUGAAAAAAUUAGAGUGUUUAAAGCAAGCUAACGCUUGAAUACAUUAGCAUGGAAUAAUGAAAUAGGACGUUCGAUCCUAUUUUGUUGGUUUCUAGGAUUGACGUAAUGAUUAAUAGGGAUAGUUGGGGGCAUUAGUAUUCAAUUGUCAGAGGUGAAAUUCUUGGAUUUAUUGAAGACUAACUACUGCGAAAGCAUUUGCCAAGGAUGUUUUCAUUAAUCAAGAACGAAAGUUAGGGGAUCGAAGACGAUCAGAUACCGUCGUAGUCUUAACCAUAAACUAUGCCGACUAGGGAUCGGAUGAUGUUAAUUUUUUUAAUGACUCA